GCCUUCUCAGCUGCUUCGUGUUAAUAGUGAGGUUCAUGGCCGAUCCUCAUGGUUAGUGAAUC
RNAcentral lists this non-coding RNA (62 nucleotides) under uncultured Prevotella sp. Its description in RNAcentral is "L13-Bacteroidia ribosomal protein leader". It matches the Rfam family "L13-Bacteroidia ribosomal protein leader", at positions 14 to 73 of the family's 73-position model. The record is from RNAcentral. Lineage: Bacteria; Pseudomonadati; Bacteroidota; Bacteroidia; Bacteroidales; Prevotellaceae.